AAUAGGUUCUUUUUACGUGCAAUAAAAUUGUAUGUCAAGUCACAAAACUAUAAAUCUGGAGAGCAAAGUUUCACAACAGUCAGACAGACAGCUCACAAACAGGGAUUACAGCUUCAAAAACAAGGCGAGAAUGUCUCCCCACUAUAAAAAUCACAACUUGAAAAUUACACGGGCCUCUUCUUAUUUGAACUCCAAAUAUAAGAAAAUUUUAGCCUGUUUGCUUUACCAAAAACCAGGCCAUUCAAGAGUAAGACGCCAAACAACAAAAACAUUUUGAGAAAGAUAAUAUUAUUUGCCUGCUCCACAAGCAUUUGAAUAGGGGAUGUUCUAAUUGACAACAUCAAGGACCAGCUUACGUGACUUGAGAACAGACCACCUCAAACGCCUGUAGUAAGCAGCUUGAAGCAGUGCAAGGGACAGUACAAAUAUCCACUUGAAGCCCAUCAGUUUUCUCUCUUCCAUUUCUGGUUCAGCAGCCCAAGUUAAAAAUGACACCACAUCUUUCCCCAUCUGAGCUUCUGUUGCAGGGACACCAUCUUCAUACUCAACAGCACCAUCAUUAAGCAUUUUUGGCAUUGCAAUAGCUCCACCAGGGAAGUAAGGAUUGUAGUGCAGUCCUUCACGAAUCGAAACACCAGCAGGAGGAUCACGAUAGCCAGUAAGAAGAGCAAACACAUAGUUUUGACCAUUAUGGCGUGCUUUUGUAAUAAGACUUAAAUCUGGAGGGUAGGCUCCCCCAUUAGCAAAUCUAGCAGCUGCUUCAUUUGGAUAUGGCUGAGGAAAACGAUCACUCAGUUUACCAGGACGGGUAAACAUUUCACCCUCAUCAUUAGGCCCAUCCGCCACCUCAAUCUCAGCUGCCAUAGCCUUUACUUCUUCCUCUGUAUAUGCCACCCCGACCAAGUCACGAUAUGAAACAAGUGACAUUGAAUGACAAGAUGCACAUACUUGUUGAUAAACCUGGUGACCACGACGAAUCGAAGCAUGAUCGUAUGAACUAAGAAUGCCUGCAUGAGGCCAAGGAUAGCUUGGGCAUUCCAAUCCGUGUUCAGCCUCAUCAG
Molecule: unclassified non-coding RNA, 1061 nt
Filed under: Hevea brasiliensis (rubber tree)
Lineage: Eukaryota; Viridiplantae; Streptophyta; Magnoliopsida; Malpighiales; Euphorbiaceae
Source: RNAcentral